This 510-nucleotide ribosomal RNA is filed under the name uncultured bacterium. RNAcentral describes it as "bacterial SSU rRNA". It matches the Rfam family "Bacterial small subunit ribosomal RNA", at positions 28 to 497 of the family's 1533-position model. The record is from RNAcentral.
GACGAACGCUGGCGGCGUGCCUAAUACAUGCAAGUCGAACGCACUCUCGUUUAGAUUGAAGGAGCUUGCUCCUGAUUGAUAAACAUUUGAGUGAGUGGCGGACGGGUGAGUAACACGUGGGUAACCUGCCCUAAAGUGGGGGAUAACAUUUGGAAACAGAUGCUAAUACCGCAUAAAACCUAACACCGCAUGGUGUAGGGUUGAAAGAUGGUUUCGGCUAUCACUUUAGGAUGGACCCGCGGUGCAUUAGUUAGUUGGUGAGGUAAAGGCUCACCAAGACCGUGAUGCAUAGCCGACCUGAGAGGGUAAUCGGCCACACUGGGACUGAGACACGGCCCAGACUCCUACGGGAGGCAGCAGUAGGGAAUCUUCCACAAUGGACGAAAGUCUGAUGGAGCAACGCCGCGUGAGUGAAGAAGGUUUCGGAUCGUAAAACUCUGUUGUUGGAGAAGAAUGUAUCUGAUAGUAACUGAUCAGGUAGUGACGGUAUCCGAACCAGAAAGCCAACGG